AUGGGCUUCUUGUCGCUGCUCGCGGUGGCUUCCAUGCCGAUCGUCCAGGUCCUGCUCGUCGGCGUCAUCGGAGCCUUCCUCGCAUCAGGGUACAGCAACGUUCUCACCGCCAGCGCCCACAGGGACAUGAACAAGGUUGUUUUCACUGUCUUCACCCCUGCUCUUAUGUUCGCUAGCCUCGCCAAGACCGUCACCCUCUCCGACGUCAUCUCUUGGUGGUUCAUGCCGGUGAACAUAGCAAUCACAUUCCUAGUGGGUAGCGCCCUUUCUUGGAUAGCGUGCAAGAUCCUGAAACCACCGCCGCAUUUCCAAGACUUGAUCACCGCCUUCUGCUCAACAGGAAAUCUCGGCAACCUGCUGUUGAUCAUCGUCCCGGCUGUCUGCGAUGAAGAUGGCAACCCGUUCGGGAACGAUCGGAGCCAGUGCCGCUCGCGAGGGCUACCCUACUCUUCGCUGUCCAUGGCUCUUGGUGGCCUGUUCAUAUGGACGUACACCUACAGCCUGAUGCACAAGUCAGGGACGCUGUACCACAAGAUGCAGUCCAAGUGCGUCCAGCGCCCGGCUGACAGCGAUGAGGAACAUCUCGAGGGAUUCAAUGCCGGCGACGAGGAACGCAAUGAGAUGAACCAAAUUGAAGCUCCACUAUUAUCGGGCAAGAGCGACAUCGCCGACAACAAAGGAUUCUGCACGAACCUGGCGGAGGCCUUGCACCAGCUCGUCCAGGAGCUCAUGACGCCGCCGACAAUAUCCGCGAUAAUUGGAUUCGUCGUUGGGCUAGUGCCAUGGCUCAAGUCGCUGAUCAUCGGCGACGGCGCCCCUCUCAGAGUCAUCCAGGAUUCCCUCGAUUUGAUGGGCAAUGGCACUAUUCCCUGCAUCACCCUCAUUCUGGGAGGAAACCUGAUACAAGGGCUGCGGAAGUCGGUGCUGAAGCGCGCGGUGAUCGUGGCGAUCGUUUGCAUCCGCUACGUGGCAAUGCCAAUGAUGGGGAUCGCCGUCGUCCGCGCGGCGCACGGGGUUGGGUUCCUUCCCCAUGACCCUCUCUACCGGUACGUGCUGAUGUUGCAGUUCGCACUGCCGCCCGCUAUGAACAUCGGUACCAUGGCACAGCUGUUCGACGUGGCGCAGGAGGAAUGCUCAGUGAUCUACAUGUGGACGUACCUCGUCGCCACCGUGGCGCUCACCACCUGGUCCACCGUCUUCAUGUCCAUUCUCUCCUGA
This 1218-nucleotide ribosomal RNA is filed under the name Triticum aestivum (bread wheat). RNAcentral's name for it is "partial small subunit ribosomal RNA". Lineage: Eukaryota; Viridiplantae; Streptophyta; Magnoliopsida; Poales; Poaceae. The record is from RNAcentral.